This 484-nucleotide ribosomal RNA is filed under the name uncultured bacterium. RNAcentral's name for it is "partial 16S ribosomal RNA". It matches the Rfam family "Bacterial small subunit ribosomal RNA", at positions 30 to 507 of the family's 1533-position model. The record is from RNAcentral.
AUUGAACGCUGGCGGCAGGCCUAACACAUGCCAGUCGAGCGGAUGAAGGGAGCUUGCUCCUGGAUUCAGCGGCGGACGGGUGAGUAAUGCCUAGGAAUCUGCCUGGUAGUGGGGGAUAACGUCCGGAAACGGGCGCUAAUACCGCAUACGUCCUGAGGGAGAAAGUGGGGGAUCUUCGGACCUCACGCUAUCAGAUGAGCCUAGGUCGGAUUAGCUAGUUGGUGGGGUAAAGGCCUACCAAGCCGACGAUCCGUAACUGGUCUGAGAGGAUGAUCAGUCACACUGGAACUGAGACACGGUCCAGAAUCCUACGGGAGGCAGCAGUGGGGAAUAUUGGACAAUGGGCGAAAGCCUGAUCCAGCCAUGCCGCGUGUGUGAAGAAGGUCUUCGGAUUGUAAAGCACUUUAAGUUGGGAGGAAGGGCAGUAAGUUAAUACCUUGCUGUUUUGACGUUACCAACAGAAUAAGCACCGGCUAACUUCGUG